UUGGGUAUAAAGUGCGCGUAGGCGGUCGUGUCAGUCGGGCGUGAAAGCCCGGGCUCAACCUGGGAAUUGCGCUCGAGACGGCACGGCUAGAGGUCGAGAGAGGAUGGUGGAACUCCCAGUGUAGAGGUGAAAUUCGUAGAUAUUGGGAAGAACACCGGUGGCGAAGGCGGCCAUCUGGCUCGAUCCUGACGCUGAGGCGCGAAAGCGUGGGGAGCAAACAGGAUUAGAUACCCGAGUA
This 238-nucleotide ribosomal RNA is filed under the name uncultured Pseudomonadota bacterium. RNAcentral describes it as "uncultured proteobacterium partial 16S ribosomal RNA". It matches the Rfam family "Bacterial small subunit ribosomal RNA", at positions 554 to 792 of the family's 1533-position model. Lineage: Bacteria; Pseudomonadati; Pseudomonadota. The record is from RNAcentral.